CUGUACCUUAUUUUAUUCCACACGCAGAGGGGCUGUCUGAAGUGGUGAUGUUGUGAGAAAAGGAAGAAUGAGGGAAGAAAGAAAGAAGUAACAGAAAUGGAAAGAAGGGACGGAUGAGGGACAGAAAUGAAAGAAUGGAUGGACAGAAAUGAAAGAAGGGAUGGACAGGAAUGAAAGAAGGGAUGAACAAAAAUGAAAGAAGGGAUGGACAGGAAUGGAAAGAAGGGAUGGACAGAAAGGAAAGAAGGGAUGGACAAAAAUGAAAGAAGGGAUGGACAGAAAUGGAAAGAAGGGAUGGACAGAAAUGGAAAGAAGGGAUGGGCAGAAAGGAAAGAAGAGAUGGACAAAAAUGAAAGAAGGGAUGGACAGAAAUGGAAAAAGGGAUGGAUGAUGGACAGAAAUUAAAGAAUGGAUGGACAGAAAUGGAAAGUUGGUACAGACAGAUGUGUAGGUGUGUUUCCAUGGUAACACCUGGUCACUGCUGUGUUUUAUGGCUUUCUAUUCCUAUGUGAUUUUCUCUGCCAUGUCACAUAGGGUUCAAAGCCAUUGGGUACAGAGUGAAAGCUCGACACAACAACAACAACGGGGAAAGUAGAACCACAAAGUCCAACCCAAAUAGCACUAACUCUUUAGCUAGAAGCCCAACAUCCAGACUCCUGGAAACACACACACAAAACUCCUCGCCAUGUGGAAUAGCAACAUCAGCAAAGUUAGCAUCCUUGCAGUGUGGGUGAAGGAGUCUGACAAAAAUUGCUCACACAAACACAAGCUCUCUUCAAACUGGAACUGUUAAGUUUUUGACCAGAAGGGCACGGCACAUCUCAAGCAAUACUGAAAGUAUGGGGGGGGGGGGGGGGGGGGAGGAGAAGAAAGAAUUUCAAUGCAAGAAUUUUUAACAAUAGAUAUAGAAUGAAAAGCAGGAUGUAACAAAAGGACAAACAAACGUACAAAACAAACAAAUCACUAUGAGACCACUGUAAACAGAUCUCAAACUUACAAAAGAAAGAAAGAAAAAAUUACAUUUCUUUUGCGUUUUUUAACAAUAGACAGAAUGAAAAGAAGAAUGUAGCAAAAUCAGAAACAUCAAAUGUACAAAAGGAAGGCACAAAGAUAUUUGGCAGGAAAGAAGGAAAGAAAAAUUAUAAACAAAUUGCAAACAAGCAACACAUGUACAAACAAAACAAAGAAAGAAAUUGCAACCAUCAAGCAAAACAAAGGAAGGAAUCCAUAAAUCAAAUGAUAACACUGAAGCCAUUUUAGUGGUCCCACUAAGCACAGUUGAGGAUCAUGAAGGUGAGGCUGAAUCGUCUCUAUGAUGCUUCCUGAUGCUCUGUGAUGUUCUGUAGUGAAGGAUAAAUCUUCCACAAUUACAGGGUUCAUUUGGUUGAUAAUGCCUCUCAGGAGGAAGUGCAGUGCAGUCACACGGCUGAGGCAGAUUGUCUUCGCUGUUAUUUUUCCACCAUUUUUCAAACACUGACAGUUCAGCAGACUGCAUACAGCAAACACGGUGAAUCAUUACCACAAACCGCUCAUGUUCUGUCAGAGAGCGGUGUAUUCGAUCACCUCCCUGUGCGUUACAGAGCAUGAGUGAGUGUGUGUGUGUUUUGGGUUCGGUGUCAUAUUUUUUGUCAUCACGUCCCUAAUUAACAGCGGUACAACAGUGGCGUUCUCAUUACAGCUCGUUUCCUCAGUCUGCUGCGUUAGCGUGGAUUACUGCACAGCCUAUACAUUUCAGCGCACAGGAAACGCACGUAGCUCCUGCGCUAAUGCGAAUGCGUGUUGGUAAUGCGGUUUGCAUCGAGCUGCCGAGCGCAGUCAUGCUUUUAAUGCGCUAAUUAAAAAGUGCGCCUGACGCUCAAUGCAAGAGCUUGUCUUGCUGCUGAUGUGUGUGACAUUAUUGGUGCUCAGGAAGUGGCAGGCAUGCGCAACGGUGCCAGAAAUACUAGCUGAUUAUCUCUCUCUCUCUCUCUCUCU
Molecule: long non-coding RNA, 1974 nt
Organism: Ictalurus punctatus (channel catfish)
Lineage: Eukaryota; Metazoa; Chordata; Actinopteri; Siluriformes; Ictaluridae
Source: Ensembl